GAUGAACGCUAGCGGCAGGCUUAACACAUGCAAGUCGAGGGGUAGAGUUAGCUUGCUAACUUGAGACCGGCGCACGGGUGCGUAACGCGUAUGCAAUCUACCUUGUACAGAGGGAUAGCCCAGAGAAAUUUGGAUUAAUACCUCAUAGUAUUAUUGAAUGGCAUCAUUUGAUUAUUAAAGUUCCAACGGUACAAGAUGAGCAUGCGUCCCAUUAGCUAGAUGGUAAGGUAACGGCUUACCAUGGCAACGAUGGGUAGGGGUCCGGAGAGGGAGAUCCCCCACACUGGUACUGAGACACGGACCAGACUCCUACGGGAGGCAGCAGUGAGGAAUAUUGGUCAAUGGGCGCAAGCCUGAACCAGCCAUGCCGCGUGCGGGAAGACGGUCCUAUGGAUUGUAAACUGCUUUUAUACGGGAAGAAACCCUGCUACGUGUAGCAGCUUGACGGUACCGUAAGAAUAAGCAUCGGCUAACUCCGUGCCAGCAGCCGCGGUAA
This 496-nucleotide ribosomal RNA is filed under the name uncultured bacterium. RNAcentral describes it as "partial 16S ribosomal RNA". It matches the Rfam family "Bacterial small subunit ribosomal RNA", at positions 28 to 523 of the family's 1533-position model. The record is from RNAcentral.